This 569-nucleotide long non-coding RNA is filed under the name Homo sapiens (human). RNAcentral's name for it is "HSALNT0095547". Lineage: Eukaryota; Metazoa; Chordata; Mammalia; Primates; Hominidae. The record is from RNAcentral.
GAAGCGGAGAGGACCAAGGCUGAAGCUACUAUCCCUUUGGUUCCUGGGAGAGAUGAGGAUUUUGUGGGUCGGGAUGAUUUUGAUGAUGCUGACCAGCUGAGGAUAGGAAAUGAUGGGAUUUUCAUGUUAACUUUUUUCAUGGCAUUCCUCUUUAACUGGAUUGGGUUUUUCCUGUCUUUUUGCCUGACCACUUCAGCUGCAGGAAGGUAUGGGGCCAUUUCAGGAUUUGGUCUCUCUCUAAUUAAAUGGAUCCUGAUUGUCAGGUUUUCCACCUAUUUCCCUGGAUAUUUUGAUGGUCAGUACUGGCUCUGGUGGGUGUUCCUUGUUUUAGGCUUUCUCCUGUUUCUCAGAGGAUUUAUCAAUUAUGCAAAAGUUCGGAAGAUGCCAGAAACUUUCUCAAAUCUCCCCAGGACCAGAGUUCUCUUUAUUUAUUAAAGAUGUUUUCUGGCAAAGGCCUUCCUGCAUUUAUGAAUUCUCUCUCAAGAAGCAAGAGAACACCUGCAGGAAGUGAAUCAAGAUGCAGAACACAGAGGAAUAAUCACCUGCUUUAAAAAAAUAAAGUACUGUUG